ACCUGGUUGAUCCUGCCAGGUGUCAUAUGCUUGUCUCAAAGAUUAAGCCAUGCAUGAGUCAGUUCACGCUGAUUAAUAGCAAAACUGCGGACGGCUCAUUACAACAGUACUAAUCUACUUGGCUGUACAAAUAGUAAAAGGAUAACUGCCGCAAUUCGGGAGCUAAUACUUGCUAAAAGCAUCGCAAGAUGUGUUUUUCCUUUCCUUAAGUCGAUCACCUUUGGUGUCUUCUGAGGAAUCAAGGGAACUUAACGGACCUUAUGCUUCGGCGAAGGUCGGCCAUUCGAGGUACUGACUUAUCAAUUUGUUGGUUCGGUAUUGGCGAACCGUGAUUGUAACGAGUAACGGGGAAUCAGGGUUCGAUUCCGGAGAGGCGGCCUGAGAAACGGCCGGCACAUCUAAGGAAGGCAGCAGGCGCGUAAAUUACCCACUGCAGACUCUGCGAGGUAGUGACAAGAAAUAACGAGGCGUUGCCUUUCAUAGGCGUCGCUAUCGGAAUGAGAGCAGCAUAAAUCGCUCAUCGAGUAUCAAUUGAAGGGAAAGUCUGGUGCCAGCAGCCGCGGUAAUUCCAGCUUCAAUAGCGUAUACUUAAGUUGUUGUGGUUGAAGAGCUCGUAGUCGUAAUUGUGGACGAUCCAGUUGUAGUGUUACUCCUUUUGGGGGUUUCGCUUAAGGACUGUGGUCUCCUUCUUAAGAUGUUUGGGGGCUGGUGUUAUUAGCUUAGCGUCAGUCAACUGCAUCGUGUUUACCUUGAAUAAAUCGGAGUGCUCAAAGCAGGCUUUACGCUUGAACGAUUGUGCAUGGGAUAAUGGAACAGGGCGUCUCGACCCUUUCAUUGGUUUAAGUUGAGACGUAAUGAUAGAUAGGAACGGUCGGCGCGAUUCGUACGAGAGAGUGAAAGGUGAAAUUUUUAGAUCUCUCUCAGACGAACAGAUGCGAAGGCGUUUCGCGAGAACGUUUUCAUUGAUCAAGAGCGAAAGAAGCAGGUUCGAAAACGAUUAGAUACCGUUGUAGUUGCUUCCGUAAACGAUUUAGACUUGCGAUUGGUAAGGUUCAUUUUUGGCCUUAUCAGCAGCUUCCGAGAAAUCAAAGUUUUUGUAGCCCAGGGGGAGUAUGGUUGCAAAGCUGAAACUUAAAGAAAUUGACGGAAGGGCACCACCAGGCGUGGAGCCUGCGGCUUAAUUUGACUCAACACGGGACAACUUGCCCGGCCCGGACACAGUGAUGAUUGACAGAUUGAGAGCUCUUUCUUGAUUCUGUGGGUGGUGGUGCAUGGCCGUUCUUAGUCGGUGGAGUGAUUUGUCUGGUUAAUUCCGAUAACGGACGAGACUCUGACGUGCUAAAUACGCAAGCUUGAGCUUUUUGCCAGGUAUUGCGUUCUUAGACGGAUUGGCUACAUUGAAAUAGCAUGAAAUAGAGCUAUAACAGGUCUGUGAUGCCCUUAGAUGUUCGGGACCGCACGCGCGCUACAAUGAAUAGGUCAAUAGGAUUUAGCUGAAGCGAGAGCUUGACUUCGGUCAUAUCGGCGAAUCGAACAAACCUGUUCAUGCUUGGGAUAGUUGCUUGUAAUUCUUCAACUUGAACGAGGAAUGCCUAGUAAUGAUGAGUCAUCAGCUCAUCGUGAUUACGUCCCUGCCCUUUGUACACACCGCCCGUCGCUAGUACCGACUAGUUGGCUUAGUGAGUCACAUGGAGUUGAGAGAGCAGAGGGGCAACCUGAACUCUAUUCGGCAAAGUCUGGCGAACUGAACCAACCGGAGGAACUAAAAGUCGUAACAAGGUCUCCGUAGGUGAACCUGCGGAAGGAUC
This 1808-nucleotide ribosomal RNA is filed under the name uncultured metazoan. Its description in RNAcentral is "SSU rRNA". It matches the Rfam family "Eukaryotic small subunit ribosomal RNA". The record is from RNAcentral. Lineage: Eukaryota; Metazoa.